GAUGAACGCUGGCGGCGUGCCUAAUACAUGCAAGUCGAGCGAACAGAUGAGGAGCCUGCUCCUCUGACGUUAGCGGCGGACGGGUGAGUAACACGUGGAUAACCUACCUAUAAGACUGGGAUAACUUCGGGAAACCGGAGCUAAUACCGGAUAAUAUAUUGAACCGCAUGGUUCAAUAGUGAAAGACGGUUUUGCUGUCACUUAUAGAUGGAUCCGCGCCGCAUUAGCUAGUUGGUAAGGUAACGGCUUACCAAGGCAACGAUGCGUAGCCGACCUGAGAGGGUGAUCGGCCACACGGGAACUGAGACCCGGUCCAGACUCCUACGGGAGGCAGCAGUAGGGAAUCUUCCGCAAUGGGCGAAAGCCUGACGGAGCAACGCCGCGUGAGUGAUGAAGGUCUUCGGAUCGUAAAACUCUGUUAUUAGGGAAGAACAAAUGUGUAAGUAACUAUGCACGUCUUGACGGUACCUAAUCAGAAAGCCACGGCUAACUACGUG
RNAcentral lists this ribosomal RNA (497 nucleotides) under uncultured bacterium. RNAcentral describes it as "partial 16S ribosomal RNA". It matches the Rfam family "Bacterial small subunit ribosomal RNA", at positions 28 to 507 of the family's 1533-position model. The record is from RNAcentral.